CACGUAGGGUGCGAGCGUUGUCCGGAAUUAUUGGGCGUAAAGAGCUCGUAGGCGGUGUGUCGCGUCGGCCGUGAAAAACCUGCAGCUUAACUGUGGGCUUGCGGUCGAUACGGGCAUCACUGGAGUUCGGCAGGGGGAGACUGGAAUUCCUGGUGUAGCGGUGAAAUGCGCAGAUAUCAGGAGGAACACCGGUGGCGAAGGCGGGUCUCUGGGCCGAUACUGACGCUGAGGCGCGAAAGCUAGGGGAGCAAACGGG
This 256-nucleotide ribosomal RNA is filed under the name uncultured bacterium. Its description in RNAcentral is "partial 16S ribosomal RNA". It matches the Rfam family "Bacterial small subunit ribosomal RNA", at positions 524 to 776 of the family's 1533-position model. The record is from RNAcentral.